GUGAGGAAUAUUGGUCAAUGGGCGGAAGCCUGAACCAGCCAUCCCGCGUGGAGGAAGACGGCCCUAUGGGUUGUAAACUUCUUUUCAAGGGGAAGAAAGUUCGCGACGUGUCGCGAUUUGCCGGUACCUUUGGAAUAAGCAUCGGCUAACUCCGUGCCAGCAGCCGCGGUAAUACGGAGGAUGUGAGCGUUAUCCGGAUUUAUUGGGUUUAAAGGGUGCGUAGGCCGAUCGAUAAGUCAGCGGUGAAAUACCAUGGCCCAACCAUGGAACUGCCGUUGAUACUGUCGGUCUUGAAUAUGGUCAAGGUAGGCGGAAUGUGUAAUGUAGCGGUGAAAUGCUUAGAUAUUACACAGAACACCGAUUGCGAAGGCAGCUUACUGGUCCAUUAUUGACGCUGAGGCACGAAAGCGUGGGGAUCGAACAGGAUUAGAAACCCCGGUAGUCC
Molecule: ribosomal RNA, 445 nt
Filed under: uncultured bacterium
Lineage: Bacteria
Description: partial 16S ribosomal RNA
Rfam family: Bacterial small subunit ribosomal RNA
Source: RNAcentral